RNAcentral lists this ribosomal RNA (202 nucleotides) under Bacillus sp. M85. Its description in RNAcentral is "partial 16S ribosomal RNA". It matches the Rfam family "Bacterial small subunit ribosomal RNA", at positions 98 to 293 of the family's 1533-position model. The record is from RNAcentral. Lineage: Bacteria; Bacillati; Bacillota; Bacilli; Caryophanales; Bacillaceae.
GCGGACGGGUGAGUAACACGUGGGUAACCUGCCUGUAAGACUGGGAUAACUCCGGGAAACCGGGGCUAAUACCGGAUGCUUGAUUGAACCGCAUGGUUCAAUUAUAAAAGGUGGCUUCUGCUUCCCCUUUCCGAAGGGCCCCCCGCCCCUUUACCUAUUGGGGAAGGUACCGGUCCCCCAGGGCACCAAGCCUUACCCAACC